GGAUGUAAGGGUGACCUGGCUGUGACAUCUGUCACCCCACUGAUCGCCAGGGUUGAUUGGGCUGAUCUGGCUGGUUAGGCAGGUGUCCCCUUCCUCCCUCACUGCUCCAUCUGUGUCCCUCCCAAAGCUGCAUGCUCUGUCGAAGAGGACGACCACCCCCGCUAGAGAAGGACCGUUCCUCAGUCAAAGGUAUACGAGUAGCUGCGCUCCCCUGCUAGAACCUCCAAACAAGCUCUCAAGAAUGCGUGCUCCAGAGCCAGAAUGCACAAGUUCAAGGCCUAGUUCACCAUUUACUGGCUUUGA
RNAcentral lists this small nuclear RNA (303 nucleotides) under Chinchilla lanigera (long-tailed chinchilla). Its description in RNAcentral is "7SK RNA (ENSCLAG00000021587.1)". It matches the Rfam family "7SK RNA". From Rfam's summary of the family: 7SK was discovered as an abundant small nuclear RNA in the mid-70s but a possible function has only recently been suggested. Two independent studies have found that 7SK RNA binds the CDK9/cyclin T complex (known as elongation factor P-TEFb). The record is from Rfam by way of RNAcentral. Lineage: Eukaryota; Metazoa; Chordata; Mammalia; Rodentia; Chinchillidae.